ACAAUUCAUGUGUGUUUGAAACUGGUCAAUAUGUAGGUGAUCUAGCUGAUCCAACUGCACCGAAUGCUCUGCUGGUCGGUGGCUUGGCUAAGCCAAAUCAUGUCUCGGUCACUGGAUCAGAAUUGCAACUGGAUCGGCCAGUCGGUGAUGCCAUAAUCUAAGUGGAUAAGACUGCUGCUCCUGAUCAUGUAGUAGGUGAUCCAGCUGCUGAUUUGGUUCCAUUCCAACCAAGACUGACCUCCGUUUCCAGAGCCAUGCUGUUCUUGCGUUGCAAAAGGCUGUCGAGGCAUAUUUCUUUUUGUCGAAGCCGAUAGGUUACUAGGGGAAAUAGGUGUUUACUAUCAGUCAUAUUAAUUGUGAUAGGCAAAUAUAGCUAAAAGUUUGUGAAGGUCUGAUUUUUAGAAGUUUGGCAUGUAAUUGAUUUUUUCCAAGUAGGUGAUCCAGCUGCUGAUUUGGUUCUAGUCCAACCAUGGGAUGAAUUUUCAUAUAAUUUGAAUUUUUAUUGAUCUAAAAGAUGCAUUGAACCAUAUCUGUAGCUGCAUAUAUUUCAUAAUUAUUGAAUGGAUUUUAUAUUUUUAACAA
Cajanus cajan (pigeon pea) is the source of this 582-nucleotide long non-coding RNA. RefSeq lists it as uncharacterized. NCBI's taxonomy places the organism in Eukaryota, Viridiplantae, Streptophyta, Magnoliopsida, Fabales, Fabaceae. The record is from RefSeq and is a predicted model, not a curated record.